GUGUGUCCAAGCAACAAGUCUGAGAACGAGUGAAAUGCUUUUUCUCUCAAGGACAAGUUGUGAUGGGGAGCGAAAUUUAGUAGCGAAGUUCCUGAUGUCACACUGCCAAGAAAAGCUUCUAGUGAGAAAGUAACUGCCCGUACCGCAAACCGACACAGGUAGUUGAGGAGAGAAUCCUAAGGUGUGCGAGAGAACUCUCGUUAAGGAACUCGGCAAAAUGACCCCGUAACUUCGGGAGAAGGGGUGCUGACCGCAAGGUCAGCCGCAGUGAAUAGGCCCAAGCGACUGUUUAUCAAAAACACAGGUCUCUGCAAAAUCGAAAGAUGACGUAUAGGGGCUGACGCCUGCCCGGUGCUGGAAGGUUAAGAGGAGAGGUUAGCGCAAGCGAAGCUUUGAAUUGAAGCCCCAGUAAACGGCGGCCGUAACGAUAACGGUCCUAAGGUAGCGAAAUUCCUUGUCGGGUAAGUUCCGACCCGCACGAAAGGCGUAACGAUUUGGGCACUGUCUCAACGAGAGACUCGGUGAAAUUAUAGUACCAGUGAAGAUGCUGGUUACCCGCGACAGGACGGAAAGACCCCAUGGAGCUUUACUGCAGUUUGAUAUUGCGUGUUUGUAUCACAUGUACAGGAUAGGUAGGAGCCAAUGAUACCGGGACGCCAGUCUCGGAGGAGGCAACGGUGGGAUACUACCCUUGUGAUAUGACCACUCUAACCCGCUGCUCUUAGCGAGCAGGGAGACAGUGUCAGACGGGCAGUUUGACUGGGGCGGUCGCCUCCAAAAAUGUAACGGAGGCGCCCAAAGGUUCCCUCAGAAUGGUUGGAAAUCAUUCGUAGAGUGUAAAGGCAGAAGGGAGCUUGACUGCGAGACCUACAAGUCGAGCAGGGACGAAAGUCGGGCUUAGUGAUCCGGUGGUUCCGCAUGGAAGGGCCAUCGCUCAACGGAUAAAAGCUACCCUGGGGAUAACAGGCUUAUCUCCCCCAAGAGUUCACAUCGACGGGGAGGUUUGGCACCUCGAUGUCGGCUCAUCGCAUCCUGGGGCUUUAGUCGGUCCCAAGGGUUGGGCUGUUCGCCCAUUAAAGCGGUACGCGAGCUGGGUUCAGAACGUCGUGAGACAGUUCGGUCCCUAUCCGUCGCGGGCGUUGGAAAUUUGAGAGGAGCUGUCCUUAGUACGAGAGGACCGGGAUGGACACACCGCUGGUGUACCAGUUGUUCUGCCAAGAGCAUCGCUGGGUAGCUAUGUGUGGACGGGAUAAACGCUGAAAGCAUCUAAGCGUGAAGCCCCCCUCAAGAUGAGAUUUCCCAUCACUUUAAGUGAGUAAGACCCCUGAGAGAUGAUCAGGUAGAUAGGUUGGGAGUGGAAGUACAGCGAUGUAUGGAGCGGACCAAUACUAAUCGGUCGAGGACUUAAGC
This 1410-nucleotide ribosomal RNA is filed under the name metagenome. RNAcentral's name for it is "bacterial LSU rRNA". It matches the Rfam family "Bacterial large subunit ribosomal RNA", at positions 1506 to 2925 of the family's 2925-position model. The record is from RNAcentral.